GGGGAAUAUUGGGCAAUGGGCGCAAGCCUGACCCAGCCAUGCCGCGUGAGUGACGACGGCCUUAGGGUUGUAAAGCUCUUUUGGCGGGGACGAUAAUGACGGUACCCGCAGAAUAAGCCCCGGCUAACUUCGUGCCAGCAGCCGCGGUAAUACGAAGGGGGCUAGCGUUGUUCGGAAUCACUGGGCGUAAAGCGCACGUAGGCGGACUUUCAAGUCAGGGGUGAAAUCCCGGGGCUCAACCUCGGAACUGCCUUUGAUACUGUUGGUCUCGAGUCCGAUAGAGGUGGGUGGAAUUCCUAGUGUAGAGGUGAAAUUCGUAGAUAUUAGGAAGAACACCGGUGGCGAAGGCGGCCCACUGGAUCGGUACUGACGCUGAGGUGCGAAAGCGUGGGGAGCAAAC
RNAcentral lists this ribosomal RNA (400 nucleotides) under uncultured bacterium. Its description in RNAcentral is "bacterial SSU rRNA". It matches the Rfam family "Bacterial small subunit ribosomal RNA", at positions 356 to 773 of the family's 1533-position model. The record is from RNAcentral.